AGUGAACGCUGGCGGUAGGCCUAACACAUGCAAGUCGAACGGCAGCACAGAGGAGCUUGCUCCUUGGGUGGCGAGUGGCGGACGGGUGAGGAAUACAUCGGAAUCUACUCUGUCGUGGGGGAUAACAUAGGGAAACUUACGCUAAUACCGCAUACGACCUACGGGUGAAAGCAGGGGAUCCUCGGACCUUGCGCGAUUGAAUGAGCCGAUGUCGGUUUAGCUAGUUGGCGGGGUAAAGGCCCACCAAGGCGACGAUCCGUAGCUGGUCUGAGAUGAUGCACAGCCACUCUGGAGCUGAGGCACGGUCCAGACUCCGACGGGUGGCAGCGUUGGGGAAUAUUGUACAAUGGGCGCAAGCCUGAUCCAGCCAUACCGCGUGGGUGAAAAAGGCCUUCGGGUUGUAAAGCCCUUUUGUUGGGAAAGAAAUCCAUCUGGUUAAUACCCGGGUGGGAUGACGGUACCCAAAGAAUAAGCACCGGCUAACUUCGUGCCAGCCGCCGCCGUAA
RNAcentral lists this ribosomal RNA (506 nucleotides) under uncultured bacterium. Its description in RNAcentral is "partial 16S ribosomal RNA". It matches the Rfam family "Bacterial small subunit ribosomal RNA", at positions 29 to 523 of the family's 1533-position model. The record is from RNAcentral.